GAUGAACGCUGGCGGCGUGCCUAAUACAUGCAAGUCGGACGCACCACUUCGGUGGUGAGUGGCGAACGGGUGAGUAAUACAUAAGUAACCUGCCCUUGCGAGGGGGAUAACUAUUAGAAAUGAUAGCUAAGACCGCAUAGGUAUAUGAGUCGCAUGACCCAUAUAUUAAAAUCCCACGGGAUUGCGCAAGGAUGGACUUAUGACGCAUUAGCUAGUUGGUGAGGUAACGGCUCACCAAGGCGACGAUGCGUAGCCGGCCUGAGAGGGUGGACGGCCACACUGGGACUGAGACACGGCCCAG
This 301-nucleotide ribosomal RNA is filed under the name uncultured bacterium. RNAcentral's name for it is "bacterial SSU rRNA". It matches the Rfam family "Bacterial small subunit ribosomal RNA", at positions 28 to 334 of the family's 1533-position model. The record is from RNAcentral.